CAUGAUUCAACUACAGACCUACUGUAGAGGACACCUGGCAAGGAAGAGGUUUGCUCUGAAGAGGAAGUACCUCAUCAAGUUCCGUUCCAUCGUGUUGCUCUACAUCAACCGUCGAAGCUAUGUGAAGGCGGAGAUCGAGCCAAUCAGGAGAGCCGAGGAGGAGUUCAGGA
Long non-coding RNA from Oncorhynchus gorbuscha (pink salmon), 170 nucleotides. RefSeq lists it as uncharacterized. The record is from RefSeq and is a predicted model, not a curated record. NCBI's taxonomy places the organism in Eukaryota, Metazoa, Chordata, Actinopteri, Salmoniformes, Salmonidae. The transcript is spliced from 3 exons.